GAUGAACGCUGGCGGCGUGCCUAAUACAUGCAAGUCGAGCGAACAGACGAGGAGCUUGCGCCUCUGACGUUAGCGGCGGACGGGUGAGUAACACGUGGAUAACCUACCUAUAAGACUGGGAUAACUUCGGGAAACCGGAGCUAAUACCGGAUAAUAUAUUGAACCGCAUGGUUCAAUAGUGAAAGACGGUUUUGCUGUCACUUAUAGACGGAUCCGCGCCGCAUUAGCUAGUUGGUAAGGUAACGGCUUACCAAGGCAACGAUGCGUAGCCGACCUGAGAGGCUGAUCGGCCACACUGCAACUGACACACGGUCCAGCCUCCUACGGGAGGCUGCAGUAGGGAAUCUUCCGCAAUGGUCGAAAGCCUGACGGAGCAGCACCGCGUGAGUGAUGAAGGUCUUCGGAUCGUAAAGCUCUCUUAUUGUGGAAGAACAAAUGGGUAAUUAUCUAAGCACGUCUUGACGGUACCUAAUCAGUAAGCCACGGCUAACUACGUG
This 497-nucleotide ribosomal RNA is filed under the name uncultured bacterium. RNAcentral's name for it is "partial 16S ribosomal RNA". It matches the Rfam family "Bacterial small subunit ribosomal RNA", at positions 28 to 507 of the family's 1533-position model. The record is from RNAcentral.